AGUGAACGCUGGCGGUAGGCCUAACACAUGCAAGUCGAACGGCAGCACAGUAAGAGCUUGCUCUUACGGGUGGCGAGUGGCGGACGGGUGAGGAAUACAUCGGAAUCUACUUUUUCGGGGGGGAUAACGGAGGGAAACUUACGCUAAUACCGCAUACGACCUACGGGUGAAAGCAGGGGAGCUUCGGACCUUGCGCGAUUGAAUGAGCCGAUGUCGGAUUAGCUAGUUGGGGGGGUAAAGGCCCACCAAGGCGACGAUCCGUAGCUGGUCUGAGAGGAUGAUCAGCCACACUGGAACUGAGACACGGUCCAGACUCCUACGGGAGGCAGCAGUGGGGAAUAUUGGACAAUGGGCGAAAGCCUGAUCCAGCCAUACCGCGUGGGUGAAGAAGGCCUUCGGGUUGUAAAGCUCUUUUGUUGGGAAAGAAAAGCAGCAGGUUAAUACCCCGCUGUUCUGACGGUACCCAAAGAAUAAGCACCGGCUAACUUCGUG
This 492-nucleotide ribosomal RNA is filed under the name uncultured bacterium. RNAcentral describes it as "partial 16S ribosomal RNA". It matches the Rfam family "Bacterial small subunit ribosomal RNA", at positions 29 to 507 of the family's 1533-position model. The record is from RNAcentral.